CCCUUAGAUGUUCUGGGCCGCACGCGCGCUACAAUGAUGCAUUCAACAAGCACCCAACCUUGGCUGGAAGGCCUAGGUAAACUUUGAAACUGCAUCGUGCUGGGGAUAGAUGAUUGCAAUUUUUCAUCUUCAACGAGGAAUUCCUAGUAAACGCAAGUCAUCAGCUUGCAUUGAUUACGUCCCUGCCCUUUGUACACACCGCCCGUCGCUACUACCGAUUGAAUGGUUUAGUGAGCUCCAUGGACCGAUCGACUCGUUGGUUUCCUUCGUUUCCGGUUGGAAAGUGGAUCAAACUUGNUNAUUUAANGGAAGUAAAANUCGUANCA
RNAcentral lists this ribosomal RNA (326 nucleotides) under uncultured eukaryote. RNAcentral's name for it is "partial 18S ribosomal RNA". It matches the Rfam family "Eukaryotic small subunit ribosomal RNA", at positions 1470 to 1796 of the family's 1831-position model. The record is from RNAcentral.